UACGGAAGGCAGCAGUGGGGAAUAUUGCACAAUGGGCGCAAGCCUGAUGCAGCUAUGCCGCGUGUAUGAAGAAGGCCUUAGGGUUGUAAAGUACUUUCAUCGGGGAGGAAAAACAAAACUAAUAAUUUUAUUUUCUUUGACGUUACCCGAAAAAGAAGCACCGGCUAACUCCGUGCCAGCAGCCGCGGUAAUACGGAGGGUGCUAGCGUUAAUCAGAAUUACUGGGCGUAAAGAGCACGUAGGUGGUUUUUUUAAGUUCAGAUGUGAAAUCCCUGGGCUUAACCUAGGAACUGCAUUUUGAAACUGAAAUACUAGAGUAUCGUAGAGGGAGGUAGAAUUCUAGGUGUAGCGGUGAAAUGCGUAGAUAUCUGGAGGAAUACCUGUGGCGAAAGCGGCCUCCUAAACGAAUACUGACACUGAGGUGCGAAAGCGUGGGGAGCAAACAGGGAUUAGAUA
Molecule: ribosomal RNA, 456 nt
Filed under: uncultured bacterium
Lineage: Bacteria
Description: bacterial SSU rRNA
Rfam family: Bacterial small subunit ribosomal RNA
Source: RNAcentral